AAGAGCGCGGAAAAACUGCCAAAGGAACUGCCAGAUUGCUUCUAGAGGCAAGUUAGCCCAUGUGGAAGUACCCCCACCUGAAAAGUGAGAGGGAGAAGACAGCUGUGUCUGGGGAACCUUCAACCUUUCACUUAUUGGAUUUUGCUGUGGCCAAACAGGUAUCUGGCUUUUCUGAUUAGGAACAAGCAAAAUAUGUUACACAUAUGAAAAUCUCUGGAGCAGGAGGAUUCUUCGACUUCCUUCAGUUGAAGAAAGUAACCCCCCAGCUAAAGGAGAAUGUUUGGACUGUAACCCCAACGUUUACUUUUAAUGGAUUUGAGAAGCUCAGUAAAAAAAAGAUAAACAGAAGGAUGUUGGCAGCAAAACUACUGAUAGAUAAAUACUGGAAGCCAAGUAGAUUGCCAAGCACUGAGGAGCGGCAUAUAAAGAUAUGGUGGGUUAUACUUAUGGAGAAACAACAAGUACAGUUAAGAAAAUGUGAGUAAAACGAUACUGUCAAUAGCAUAAGAAAUAAUUAUAUGGUUAUUUUAAAGAUGGUCACUUCAGCUAGCUAAAAGAAAAUGAAAACCAAGUAGGUCGAAUAGUCCUACCUCAUGUGUCUUCCCUCUUUUCCUUUUUCUGUAUUGAAGCUUGGUUGGUACGUUCUUUUUAAAUCUCACAUUGUAUGUGUAUGUUAAUUAUCAUGAGUGAUAUGGUCUUUAGUGUUAUGAAUUCUAAGAUGUAUUUCAAUGUAUAUUUUGUCUUAAUAAAAUAAAUUUUAAAAAAUGGCA
This is a long non-coding RNA of Hemicordylus capensis (graceful crag lizard), 770 nucleotides long. RefSeq lists it as uncharacterized. The transcript has 4 exons. The record is from RefSeq and is a predicted model, not a curated record. NCBI's taxonomy places the organism in Eukaryota, Metazoa, Chordata, Lepidosauria, Squamata, Cordylidae.